RNAcentral lists this ribosomal RNA (305 nucleotides) under uncultured bacterium. RNAcentral describes it as "bacterial SSU rRNA". It matches the Rfam family "Bacterial small subunit ribosomal RNA", at positions 334 to 656 of the family's 1533-position model. The record is from RNAcentral.
GUGUCCUACGGGAGGCAGCAGUGGGGAAUAUUGCACAAUGGGCGAAAGCCUGAUGCAGCGACGCCGCGUGAGUGAAGAAGUAUUUCGGUAUGUAAAGCUCUAUCAGCAGGGAAGAAAAUGACGGUACCUGACUAAGAAGCCCCGGCUAACUACGUGCCAGCAGCCGCGGUAAUACGUAGGGGGCAAGCGUUAUCCGGAAUUACUGGGUGUAAAGGGAGCGUAGACGGUGAUGUAAGUCUGGAGUGAAAGGCGGGGGCCCAACCCCCGGACUGCUCUGGAAACUAUGUGACUGGAGUGCAGGAGAG